GAGUUUGAUCCUGGCUCAGAUUGAACGCUGGCGGAAUGCUUUACACAUGCAAGUCGAACGGCAGCACGGGGCAACCUGGUGGCGAGUGGCGAACGGGUGAGUAAUACAUCGGAACGUGCCCAAUCGUGGGGGAUAACGUAGCGAAAGUUACGCUAAUACCGCAUACGAUCUACGGAUGAAAGCGGGGGAUCGCAAGACCUCGCGCGAAUGGAGCGGCCGAUGUCAGAUUAGGUAGUUGGUGGGGUAAAGGCUCACCAAGCCAACGAUCUGUAGCUGGUCUGAGAGGACGACCAGCCACACUGGAACUGAGACACGGUCCAGACUCCUACGGGAGGCAGCAGUGGGGAAUUUUGGACAAUGGGCGCAAGCCUGAUCCAGCCAUUCCGCGUGCAGGAUGAAGGCCUUCGGGUUGUAAACUGCUUUUGUACGGAACGAAACGGCGAGCUCUAAUACAGUUUGCUAAUGACGGUACCGUAAGAAUAAGCACCGGCUAACUACGUG
This 501-nucleotide ribosomal RNA is filed under the name uncultured bacterium. Its description in RNAcentral is "bacterial SSU rRNA". It matches the Rfam family "Bacterial small subunit ribosomal RNA", at positions 9 to 507 of the family's 1533-position model. The record is from RNAcentral.